AGGAGCUCUCUCUUCUCCUCCUGUCUGUGGAUCUGGAUGUAGAACUCUCAGCUGUCAUGUCUGCCUGUGUGCUGACAUGCUCCCUACCGUGAGGAUAAUGUACUAAACCUCUAAAACCGGAUAUCAUUCUGCCGCUGAAGUCAGUUUACAUUUGGAAUUGGGACUCUGGAGAGGGAGGAAGCUUUUUUGAUGGUGACUGGAUAAAGCACUGAUCUAGGAGUGCAGCAGAUGAUCACGAGG
Mastomys coucha (southern multimammate mouse) is the source of this 240-nucleotide long non-coding RNA. RefSeq lists it as uncharacterized. The record is from RefSeq and is a predicted model, not a curated record. The transcript has 3 exons. Lineage: Eukaryota; Metazoa; Chordata; Mammalia; Rodentia; Muridae.